Molecule: ribosomal RNA, 253 nt
Filed under: uncultured bacterium
Lineage: Bacteria
Description: partial 16S ribosomal RNA
Rfam family: Bacterial small subunit ribosomal RNA
Source: RNAcentral
UACGAAGGGGGCUAGCGUUGCUCGGAAUCACUGGGCGUAAAGGGCGCGUAGGCGGCCAUUCAAGUCAGGGGUGAAAGCCCAAGGCUCAACCUUGGAGUUGCCUUUGAUACUGUUUGGCUUGAGACCGGAAGAGGUAAGUGGAACUGCGAGUGUAGAGGUGAAAUUCGUAGAUAUUCGCAAGAACACCAGUGGCGAAGGCGGCUUACUGGUCCGGUUCUGACGCUGAGGCGCGAAAGCGUGGGGAGCAAACAGG